This is a regulatory RNA element of Gavia stellata (red-throated loon), 47 nucleotides long. It matches the Rfam family "Histone 3' UTR stem-loop". Rfam says of the family: The mRNAs of metazoan histone genes lack a poly-A tail. 3' end processing occurs at a site between a highly conserved stem-loop (modelled by this family) and a purine rich region around 20 nts downstream (the histone downstream element, or HDE). The stem-loop is bound by a 31 kDa stem-loop binding protein (SLBP - also termed the histone hairpin binding protein, or HBP). The record is from Rfam. Lineage: Eukaryota; Metazoa; Chordata; Aves; Gaviiformes; Gaviidae.
CCAAAGGCUCUUUUAAGAGCCACUACGUGCACAAUGAAAAGAGCUGU